AUGGGUUGUUGUUAUUUUAUAAAUCUCAUCUUGAAUUUGAAUCUCUUUAAAAAUGUCGAAGGAACCACAGCUGUCUUGCUGCCACUGUGCCCCAUGGUCCUCGUCCUGCUCCCCCCUCCCCUCGGCGCUGCCCCGAGCUCCCCCUGCACCGCUGGCCCAGCUGCCAGAGGAGGACACAGAAGGGGUCGGGUCGGGGGGUGCCCCACACAGGGUCUCGGGGGCCUGGGUGACCCGCACUGUGUGCCGAGUCACCCAGGGCUCAGUCCAGCCAUCCCUCCCUCCCUAGGCCGGAGCCUGUCCCCGCCCUGCUGCGGUGGGACCUCGAAGGGGCCCCCACAUGUGUUGACGCAGUGGUGCUGCAACGCGGUUACAAUGUCCCCAUUUCAGAGCCGAGCAGACUGGGGCUCGGGCAGCAGGGUCAGUGCCUUGCUCUCCACGGCCCCGGGCGGGUAUGGCCACUCACGGUCGCCGAGCUGCGGCCCCACUGGGGAAGGCAGGUCCCGUGACUCUUCCCAGCGAGCCCUACAGUGGGCCAGCCCUGACCCGGGGUCGGGAGGACUGGUGGCUCCCAGCUGCUCGAAACAGGGCCUGGGCCAUGCGGGAGGCAGAGGGGGCAGGGGGGUGGGGGGUGAGUGUGUGUGGGGGUGCAGGGGGUACCGUCGCAGAAACCAUCAAGUGCCAGGUGCUUCCACAGCUGCAGGGCUCCACCCCCAGGUCCGCAUUGUCCCCGCCUGUUGGAAAAACAGAUGUUCUUGUCCUCAGUUCCGUCCCUUUGUCCCCAACAAGCACUUAAGCGCAGAAAGGGGGUGGAGAACUGGGGACGGAAUCAGGCAUCUAUUCUGGGCUGUUGCCAUGGGAGGCGGGGGGAGUGGGGGGGAGUGGGGCAGGAGGGCCUCCCCGGCAGGCGGGCUCCAGGGCUGGUGGGUGCCACCGGCUGGCUCCGGGAGGAGGGUGCUUGUCUCCCGGGCUGAUGUCGGGGGCGCCCCUGGCCUUUUGCCUCCACUUCCAGGUUUUGGGAGGCUGGGUGAGGUCAAGGGCUGA
This 1041-nucleotide long non-coding RNA is filed under the name Vulpes vulpes (red fox). RNAcentral describes it as "lncRNA (ENSVVUG00000028431.1)". Lineage: Eukaryota; Metazoa; Chordata; Mammalia; Carnivora; Canidae. The record is from RNAcentral.